This 468-nucleotide ribosomal RNA is filed under the name uncultured bacterium. RNAcentral's name for it is "partial 16S ribosomal RNA". It matches the Rfam family "Bacterial small subunit ribosomal RNA", at positions 28 to 507 of the family's 1533-position model. The record is from RNAcentral.
GACGAACGCUGGCGGCGUGCUUAACACAUGCAAGUCGAAGGGAAAGGGCCUGCUUUUGUGGGGUGAUCGAGUGGCGAACGGGUGAGUAACACGUGAGUAACCUGUCCUUGACUUUGGGAAAACGUCAGGAAACUGGAGAUAAUACCGGAUAGGAGUUCCUGCUGCAUGGUGGGGGUUGGAAGGUUUCGGCGGUGGGGGAUGGACUCGCGGAUUAUCUGCUUGUUGUUGGGGUGGUGGCUCACCAAGGCUUUGACGGGUCGCCGGCCUGAGAGGGUGAGCGGCCACAUUGGGACUGUGAUACACCCCACACUCCUACGGGGGGCAGCAGUGUGGGAUAUUGCACAAUGGGCGGACGCCUGUUGCAGCACCGCCGCGUGUGCAAUAACGGCCUUUGGGUUGUAUACCGUUUUCGCCGGUGACGAAGAGUGAGUGACGGUAAUUGGUAAAGAAGCACCGGCUAACUACGUG